This 851-nucleotide long non-coding RNA is filed under the name Anas platyrhynchos platyrhynchos (common mallard). RNAcentral's name for it is "lncRNA (ENSAPLG00000029795.1)". The record is from RNAcentral. Lineage: Eukaryota; Metazoa; Chordata; Aves; Anseriformes; Anatidae.
UACGCAAAAAGAGUUUGUGCAUGAUGUACAGUAUAGACCCUGGUGCUGCUCACAGCCUGCCAUGUGAAUCCCAGUCCCUGUCUAUAUUGCACUUUGAAAUUAGCGUCGAAGUCUGCUGUGCUGUACUGUGAAUUUCUUGACCAUGGCACUAAGAUGUUUAGAAUACUCCCUCACAGAGCUGGACCCCUCCUUCUGAGCUCUCCUCUUCUGGCAAGAGCACAAAUGGGUACACAAGAUGUCAGGAGGAAGGAGCUGGGAGUUUUGGUGUCAGCAUGAGAGCCCAGUGCACUGCCUGGAAAGGUGGAGCUGGGCAGCUGCUGUGAGUUUGAGUGCUGAUAGUGGAAACAGGUCUUGCAGGGGCAUGAAGGUCAUAAAGAACAUGCUAGCCCUGGACACGCAUGAAAAAAUGCAUCAGAAUUUAAGUACUGAAAGGAUUGUUCUUGGACUAGUGUGGUGGAUGUCUCUAUAAGCAACCAUCCUGGAUGUUUUAAGAAAUACUGAGUCUGGGAUGGUGCUGGAGCCUGAGAUGGACGAUUGGAGCUGCCCUUGCCAACAAAAAGAACAAAGCUGGCUCAGGGCUACCUCCAGAUGCGGUUGAUCUCUGUGGGACUGCUCCAAGCCAGGUUGCAGUUUUCUUUUCCCACAGUGAUACUGAAAUCCUGAGUGGAGGUGAACAGCACCGAGUAGCUGGAGAGGGAAAGGUGUUGGCUCAUGACAUGGAGGAAAAGGCUUGGAAACAUUUGACGAUUCUGGUAUUCCUGACAGCUACAAGCAAUCAAAAAACUUGCCACCUACCUCUGUUUCUUCACUUUGAAUGUUAUACUGAAAAAGAUACGUCUUCUUUGGGAACU